This 654-nucleotide ribosomal RNA is filed under the name Sarcocystis hjorti. RNAcentral's name for it is "SSU rRNA". It matches the Rfam family "Eukaryotic small subunit ribosomal RNA", at positions 455 to 1077 of the family's 1831-position model. Lineage: Eukaryota; Apicomplexa; Conoidasida; Eucoccidiorida; Sarcocystidae. The record is from RNAcentral.
CUCAGGGAGGUAGUGACAAGAAAUAACAACACUGGAAAUUUUAUUUCUAGUGAUUGGAAUGAUGGGAAUUUAAACCCCUUUGAGAGUAACAAUUGGAGGGCAAGUCUGGUGCCAGCAGCCGCGGUAAUUCCAGCUCCAAUAGCGUAUAUUAAAGUUGUUGCAGUUAAAAAGCUCGUAGUUGGAUGUCUGCUGGAAGCAAUCAGUCCGCCCUAUUUGUAGGGUGUGCACUUGAUGAAUUCUGGCAUCUAUGUCCUAAUGUGAUAGAUACGGCGGUGUAUAUGGGUUAAUCCUAUAUACCCGUUUUUGUAUAUUAUAUUGGGGUAAUACCGUUACUUUGAGAAAAUUAGAGUGUUUGAAGCAGGCUAAUUGCCUUGAAUACUGCAGCAUGGAAUAACAAUAUAGGAUUUCGGUUCUAUUUUGUUGGUUUCUAGGACUGAAAUAAUGAUUAAUAGGGACAGUUGGGGGCAUUCGUAUUUAGCUGUCAGAGGUGAAAUUCUUAGAUUUGUUAAAGACGAACUACUGCGAAAGCAUUUGCCAAAGAUGUUUUCAUUAAUCAAGAACGAAAGUUAGGGGCUCGAAGACGAUCAGAUACCGUCGUAGUCUUAACCAUAAACUAUGCCGACUAGAGAUAGGAAAAUGUCAUUUUUCUGACUU